This 1221-nucleotide long non-coding RNA is filed under the name Zea mays. RNAcentral describes it as "long non-coding RNA (ZMAY_LNC001181)". The record is from RNAcentral. Lineage: Eukaryota; Viridiplantae; Streptophyta; Magnoliopsida; Poales; Poaceae.
UUCCCCAUCUAUCCUCUGGAAGCAAGCUUCUGUCGACACCGUGGGAGCGGGUUAGAGUGCGGUGCGGGGGAGAGAGGCCCGCCGCAUCCUGGGCUCGUCGGUGCUGCCCUUCUACACCAGUGGGGUGGUUCUGGGGCUUCGCAAGCACGCGGGGAAGCUUUGCCUGGUUCGUGCGCAUCGGGGUUGUGGCCGGAGCCUGGGUAAUUUCUCGACGGAAUUUCGGCCUCCGUGGUGUUGCCACCGAGCACCGCAGCUUGGACACGUGAUCGCAUAACAGAAGGUAAAUAACCAAUUGAAUCACUUCCCCAUGUCCUUUCAAUCGUAUUUACGCAAAUUGGUGCGGAAACCAGGCAACGGGGGCACCGGUGCGUCGUGCUCCGGCGGGAUUCCGCCGUGCAAACUGGGCGGCGCCGCCGCGCUCUGGCGUCGGGCGGGGAAGACGCCUCGUCACCGUCAGAUCACUUGUGGGCGGUUGAGAUUAGAUCGACCCAUACCCCUUCACUCGAUUAAAUCUGUGCCGUCGGUUGCAGGCUUUGCGGUCGAGAUUGGGUUACGGCGUGGAUGCCUCACGACCAUCAGAUCUUAAUCUAGCGGCUGUCGUUGGAUACUGAGUUAGGUUUUAUAAAAAAAUCUAAUCGCAACCGUCAGAUAGAGAUCCAACGGCCCAAAUAGCCCGAUACCCCUUCGCCCUGGCCUAUUUGCUAAAGAGACCCCGUAAUCUUUACAAAUUAACCCGCCGUCUGUGGGCGAUGAUCAUUGAGUCUAGGGAAUUGUUACAGAUUGGACCCUGAGUUUUGUAUUAUUUGGUGCCCAGUCCAGAACACUUAGGAUAUUCAGGAAUUAAUAAAGAAAUAGGUUUUUAGUAUGAAAAUAAUUCCAUAAACUUGCAUAAUUCAUAGUUAAUUCAUUUUAACUCCAAAUUGAGUCAUUUCAGUUGCAAUAAUUUUGUAUUAAUGUUGUUUACCACCUCGUACCUUUGUUUAACCAUGAAACUUGAAUUAAAACUUGCGCAAUUGAAUUAAUCUAUUCUAGGUGCUAAGUAAUUUCGAAAAUUCAUAACUUAAUAACCGUAGCUCCGAAUUUAGUGGUUCUUGUUUCUACGAUCUCGUUAUGGCGCGUAGAUUAUUAUCACAUAGUUUAUUCUUAUGUUUGGUGUAAUGUUAAUUUUUGCCUAUACCAUGUUUGUCUGUAUUGAUACGUUUAGCAGUGAGGACACGCGUC